CGACAGAGCUAGACUCCGUCUCAAAAAAAAAAAAAAAAAGAAAUGGGAAAACAUUGAGGAUGAAGUAGCAAAUAUUUGAGAAUUCAACUUGAUUGGUGGCUGUUGCAGGUUCAUACGUGAGUGGUUACGUAGUGGGUAGUUAAACUGACAAUGACCAGCUGAAUUUUGGUGACAGGACUGCUCCUAAGGUUUGAAAUGUAGCGUAUCCUCUGAUUCACGGGCUAAGCUCUGCCACUUAGCAGGAGGAGCUCAUGAUAGAGCAGGUUGAGGGGAAAACUUUGCCCCAUAAGGGUUCUUCACUGCAAGUGAGAAGGUCUUGGCUUUGAGCCUCCAAUUUCAAUCAGACAGAAAGCAGACCAGUCGGCAGGACAGUAUAUGCCUCUGGAGAUCCGUGCUGAUGUGGGGGCCUCAGAUACAAGAUGCCUCAGGGCCCAGGCGUGACCCUCUCCUUCCCUCCUGCACGGAGAUGCUGUGAGAAUUAGACACUCCCACAGGGCCCUGUCAGACACUGAGCUAGCCUCUGGGAACCGGAAGAUAUUCAAAACACCAGCCACCCCCCACACACACAGACAAGGCGCUGGAGGGACAGCUGUGCAGCGGCAGAGCAUGAGAGGUCUUGAUCAGUUAACUCAGUGAGGUUAGGAGGCGAAUUUUUUUUUUUUUGAGAUGGAGUCUUACUUUGUCACCCAGUCAGGAGUGCAGUGGCGUGAUCUCGGCUCACUGCAACCUCCGCCUCCUGGCCUCAAGUGAUUCUUCCGCCUCAGCCUCCCGAGUAGCUGGGACUACAGGUGCGUGCCACCACACCCAGCUAAUUUUUGUAUUUUUGGUAGAGACAGUGUUUCACCACGUUGGACAGGCUGGUCUCAAUCUCUUGACCUCGUUAUCUGCCUGCCCUGGCCUCCCAAAGUGCUGGGAUUAUAGGUGUGAGCCACAAAGCCUUUUUGUUUUCAUUUUUGAGAUGGAGUCUCGCUCUGUCGCCCAGGCUGGAGUGCAGUGGCAUGAUCUCAGCUCACUGCAACCUCUGCAUCCCAGUUCAAGCAGUUCUCCGCCUCGGCCUCCUGAGUAGCUGGGAUCACAGGUGCCCGCCACCACACUUGGCUAAUUUUUUGUAUUUUUAGUAGAGAUGAGGUUUCACCGUGGUGGCCAGGCUGGUCUCAAACUCCUGACCUCAAAUGAUCUGCCUGCCUCGGCUUCCCAAAGUGCUGGGAUGACACUGAGCCACCGCGCCUGGCAAGGAGGUAACUUGAUCCAUACGUUUGCGUUUACAUGGUGCGAGGAAAGGGCACCCUUGGUAGAUGGAACAGCGUGUACAAAGGCCCGGAGGUUUAAAAUCACCACUCUUCUAGCCCUCAUACUAACUUUGCCUAUUUUGAACUUUAUAUAAAUGGAAUUAUAUUGCAUGUUCUCUUUUGUAUCUGACUUCCUUUUCUCAAUACUAUAUGAGUGGUAUCCAUGCCAUUUAAAGUAAUGGUGGAUUAACUCAAUGCUACGUCGCCUUCUAGUUGAUGGAGGGCAGGCAAGACCCACAGUGGGGCUGAGCCCCUCGAGGGUUCCUGGCUUUGCCCAGGAAACAAUUCAAGGGCAAGCUGGAAGUGAAAGUAAACAGGCCAGGCAUGGUGGGAGUUACUACCCCUUUCCAUGGCAAUGACCCCACGACCCAAAAGUUACUACCCCUUCCCUAGAAACUUUUGCCUGGGCUGCCCCUUAAUCUACAUGAAAUUAAAAGUGGGUGUAAAUGUGGCUGCAGAACUGUCCUGAGCUGCUGCUCUCAGCACACUCUGCCCAGCACACCCCGCCUGCAGGGGCCGUCGCAGAGCUGUAACCCUGCCGCUUCAAGCUGUUUUGUUUUGUUUUUCUUUCGAGACAGUCUCGCUCUGCUCUUCCAGUUUGAAUAUCACGCAGGCUGGAGCGCAGUGGCGCAAUCUCGGCUCACUGCAACCUCUGCCUCCUGGGUUCAAGCAAUUCUGCCUCAGCCACCCGAGUAGCUGGGAUUACAGGCACACGCCACCAUGCCCGGCUAAUUUUUGUAUUGUAUUAGAGACAGGGUUUCACCAUGUUGGCGAGGCUGGUCCCGAACUCCUGGCCUCAAGUGAUCUGCCCGCCGUCCGCCUCAGUGUCCCGAGGUGCUGGGAUUACAGGUGUGAGCCACCGCACCCAGCAAAAGUGCUUUCUCGAGAUGGAAUCUGCGCCUGGUGAAGAUGCUCUAAACAUUGCUGAGAUAACAAAGGAUUUAGAAUAUUCCAUAAACUUCGUUGGUACAGCAGCGAUAGGGUUCGAGAGGAUUUUCCAGUUGUGAGAGAAGGUCUGCUGUGGACAAAAUGCUACCAAACAGCAUCGCGUGCUACGGAGAAAUCUUUUGUGAAAGGAAGAAGCUCAAUGUGGCCAGCUUUAUUGUUGUCUUAUUUUAAGAAAUUGCUGGCCGGGUGUGGUGGAGAAUCACUUGAACCCAGGAGGCAGAGGUUGCAGUGAGCCGAGAUCACGCCAUUGAACUCCAGCUGGGCAUAAGAGCAAAACUCCAUCUCAAAAAAAAAAAAAAAAAGGAAGAAAUUGCCACAGCCACCUCAGCCUUCAGCCACCACCACCCUGAUCAGUCAGCAGCCACAAACAAGACCUUCCACCAGCAAAGAGAUCCCAACUUCCUCAAGCCUCAGCACUACCGAGGUUGACGCAGCUAGAUGGUUUUCUCCCCGGCUGGUUGCUGCUUCUCACCCACAGAGGCGGUGGAGCCCUUGGAACUGGGCAGAACACAGGGCUGCCUUGUCACCACUGCCUGGCUGAACCUGAAAUUGGGCCGUUUGACAGAAAGACUUGAAAGGGCCACCAGUAAAUUCUUUUUUCUUUUCAUUGAUUUUCCUCUUCUUACUUUCCUCCUCCUGAAGUUGGGGUCAUGUCCCAAGAAGACCCACAAGGCCUGGCCUGUGGGUGCACAUGUGGGGAGGGUCAGGUCUGUCGGCUGAGGAGGGCAUUGGUAGGGGACUUUGAGCAGUGCUGCUCCGGAGACACGAAUGAUGGGAUGGGAGGCUCUCCCAUAUCUGCCGAGAGCACAGCACCCCAUGACUCCUGGGAGCUUGUCAUAGAUGCUGCAGAUGAGUCCUUCCUCAGACGGGAUAUUUGCUAAUGCCUCUGCCAGCCUGGGCUUGUCUUCUCAGGGCCUUUCAAAAUGCACACACCCUUCAUUCUCAUGAUGUCCAGUGGAUCAGGUUUUCCUUUAUGUGUCAUGCUUUUAGUGUUUAAGAAUCAUUUCUCUAACCCAAGUCACACUGACAUCCUCCUUUUCAUUCUUAACGCACAUUUUACAGUUGUAGGCCUUACAUUUUGGCUUAUAAUAAGUUCUGAGGCCAGGCACAGUGCUCACACCUGUAAUCCUGGCACUUUGAGAGGCCAAGGCGGGUGGAUCACCAGAGGUCAGGAGUUUGACACAAGCCUGGCCAACAUGGUGAAACCCCG
This 3447-nucleotide long non-coding RNA is filed under the name Homo sapiens (human). RNAcentral's name for it is "HSALNT0170791". Lineage: Eukaryota; Metazoa; Chordata; Mammalia; Primates; Hominidae. The record is from RNAcentral.